GAGGGUAUAGAUCAGUGGUAGAGUGCCUGCUUGGCAUGCACGAGAUCCUGGGUUCAAUCUCCAGUCUCUCCA
This is a transfer RNA of Camelus ferus (Wild Bactrian camel), 72 nucleotides long. It matches the Rfam family "tRNA". Rfam says of the family: Transfer RNA (tRNA) molecules are approximately 80 nucleotides in length. Their secondary structure includes four short double-helical elements and three loops (D, anti-codon, and T loops). Lineage: Eukaryota; Metazoa; Chordata; Mammalia; Artiodactyla; Camelidae. The record is from Rfam.